AAGGUGGGACUGGCGAUUGGGACGAAGUCGUAACAAGGUAGCCGUACCGGAAGGUGCGGCUGGAUCACCUCCUUUCUAAGGAGCA
RNAcentral lists this ribosomal RNA (85 nucleotides) under Streptomyces griseoaurantiacus. Its description in RNAcentral is "partial 16S ribosomal RNA". The stretch from base 1 to 75 matches the Rfam family "Bacterial small subunit ribosomal RNA", at positions 1459 to 1533 of the family's 1533-position model. Lineage: Bacteria; Bacillati; Actinomycetota; Actinomycetes; Kitasatosporales; Streptomycetaceae. The record is from RNAcentral. RNAcentral also lists the same sequence under 1 other name.